AGUGAACGCUGGCGGUAGGCCUAACACAUGCCAGUCGAACGGCAGCACAGUAAGAGCUUGCUCUUACGGGUGGCGAGUGGCGGACGGGUGAGGAAUACAUCGGAAUCUACUUUUUCGUGGGGGAUAACGUAGGGAGACUUACGCUAAUACCGCAUACGACCUACGGGUGAAAGCAGGGGAUCUUCGGACCUUGCGCGAUUGAAUGAGCCGAUGUCGGAUUAGCUAGUUGGCGGGGUAAAGGCCCACCAAGGCGACGAUCCGUAGCUGGUCUGAGAGGAUGAUCAGCCACACUGGAACUGAGACACGGUCCAGACUCCUACGGGAGGCAGCAGUGGGGAAUAUUGGGCAAUGGGCGCAAGCCUGAUCCAGCCAUACCGCGUGGGUGAAGAAGGCCUUCGGGUUGUAAAGCCCUUUUGUUGGGAAAGAAAAGCAGCAGGUUAAUACCCCGCUGUUCUGACGGUACCCAAAGAAUAAGCACCGGCUAACUUCGUG
This 492-nucleotide ribosomal RNA is filed under the name uncultured bacterium. RNAcentral's name for it is "partial 16S ribosomal RNA". It matches the Rfam family "Bacterial small subunit ribosomal RNA", at positions 29 to 507 of the family's 1533-position model. The record is from RNAcentral.